RNAcentral lists this transfer RNA (89 nucleotides) under Phycisphaeraceae bacterium. RNAcentral describes it as "tRNA-Ser". It matches the Rfam family "tRNA". Rfam says of the family: Transfer RNA (tRNA) molecules are approximately 80 nucleotides in length. Their secondary structure includes four short double-helical elements and three loops (D, anti-codon, and T loops). Further hydrogen bonds mediate the characteristic L-shaped molecular structure. tRNAs have two regions of fundamental functional importance: the anti-codon, which is responsible for specific mRNA codon recognition, and the 3' end, to which the tRNAs corresponding amino acid is attached (by aminoacyl-tRNA synthetases). tRNAs cope with the degeneracy of the genetic code in two manners: having more than one tRNA (with a specific anti-codon) for a particular amino acid; and 'wobble' base-pairing, i.e. permitting non-standard base-pairing at the 3rd anti-codon position. RNAcentral also lists the same sequence under 1 other name. Lineage: Bacteria; Pseudomonadati; Planctomycetota; Phycisphaerae; Phycisphaerales; Phycisphaeraceae. The record is from RNAcentral.
GGACAGGUGUCCGAGCGGCUGAAGGAGCGGCACUGGAAAUGCCGUAUGCGGGGUUUCCUGCAUCGUGGGUUCGAAUCCCACCCUGUCCG